AUUUGGUAGGCAGGGCUCCUCAUCACUCUUUAGCCCUACCAGCCCAGGGUUUGAUUUGCAGUGCUGGUAGCCACCCAAGCAACGCCUGUGUUGCCACUAAUCACUGUUUUUGGAACUGCUGUGGUUCAAAGGGAAUCUUUCAGCAUUCAGCUGACUUCCCCCAGACGCUGAGGUCCUGAUACGCAACGCUCCCUAUCUUUCUGCAGCAGAGGUGGAGACUGAGAGGUCUUCAGCCUUUAAUACCCCCAUCUCACAUCUGUCUUCUCCAGUAUUCCUUGCAGGUGUGCUGAAAAGACAUAUGAACCCUGGAAAUAAACUUUUAUUUUCCUUCUAUUUCUCCGAAGCUGCUCCUUACGUUAGAUCUGCCUACAUCAUACUCCUCCAUGACACUGCUUUGCCUCGGCUUCAGCAACAAACAGGACUCCUACCACUUUCCUGAUGGGCCCUAUCCCACCAUUUUCCCAAAUUCCCCCACAGAGUGACUAAGGAGUCACUGGACAGAACAUGGGAAUGGGUGAACCACAGCUGUAGCUGCAGGAAAGUGGUCUGGAAGCUGGUGAGGGACUGCCACCACCCACAAGGAACCCUCCUCUUCUGGUUGCCCAGAUACGUAGCACGUCUGUCAAGCAAGUUGGAGCAGAGCCCUGGCCACUCCAGUGUCCACCUCCUGACCACACAGUCUGGCACUGCUCAGCACCAAGGGCUGAUGUUCUUGGGAACACCACGUGGGUUGUGUCAACCCUCACAGCAUUACAGUCCUCAGAUCCCUGCAGGAGUGCAGAAUCCAGGGACAACCUCGUGUGCAGGAGACCCUGUCCACAGGGACAAAGAUGAGCAACAGAGAUAGCAAAGGUACUGUGAUGGCAAGAAACCGGCAUCUUUCUAAAACGCCAGCCUCAGGCACAAGGAGCUCAAGAGAGAAGUGAGCCAUCCCAGGCCUGUCCCAGGGAAGCAAGACUUCACAAUAUUUUUUAAUCAGGAUACACGAGUUCUGAGUCAGCUAAAAGCAACACUCAGAUCCAAUCUGUGAUGGUUUUAUUUGCAUAAGUCGUAAUGUAAACAGCAAAUAGAUCUGUAGGAUUUCAGUUGACUUGUCAAGGAAAAUAGAUCUUUGUUGAAGUAAGCAUUAAAGGAGAACCAAUAUGGAAAACACAUUGUACUGCUCAAAUGAUGGACAUUUUUGAUCCUCUGAGCAGUUUUCCUGUGUUUAACCGUAUUAGAGGAAUGCCUAGUUAUAACAAUUCUCUCUCUAUAAAAAGUUUUUUCUGAAUGAAACAAACAUACUUUGGUACACCACCUCCCUUGUCCCACUGAGGCUAAAUGCAUCACACACAGCAAAGGGAAUACACCUCCCUUGCAACACUUACAUAGAAGGUAAUAACAUGGAUUUCACGCCAGUACUCCAGGUAUGUGGGAAGAAAACUGUAACAGUACAUCUCCACUCUUGGCUCUUCCUACUCUGAGUUAUGAAACAGAAAAUGAUCAAUAAUUUAAAAACAAACAACAAAACCAAAACUCACUCAUCUCCAGAGGCUGAAAGAGCAGAAACUGGGAAAACAUUUCUGGCCCCCUGCUCCCCUUCUCCCAGGAUGCUGCAUCAUGCACUGGGUCCCUCGCUGAGUAGAGCCAAGGUACUCCUGUAGGAAGAAAUGCCACAGGAAAUGAGGUCAGCAUCCAUGCUACUUCCUAGAAGGAUCCCCGUGUGACUCCUACUACCAAUAUCCCACA
Molecule: long non-coding RNA, 1728 nt
Filed under: Numida meleagris (helmeted guineafowl)
Lineage: Eukaryota; Metazoa; Chordata; Aves; Galliformes; Numididae
Description: lncRNA (ENSNMEG00000002840.1)
Source: RNAcentral